Molecule: ribosomal RNA, 639 nt
Filed under: uncultured bacterium
Lineage: Bacteria
Description: bacterial SSU rRNA
Rfam family: Bacterial small subunit ribosomal RNA (bases 1-545)
Source: RNAcentral
CCUACGGGAGGCAGCAGUGGGGAAUAUUGCGCAAUGGAGGAAACUCUGACGCAGCAACGCCGCGUGGGUGAAGAAGGUCUUCGGAUUGUAAAGCCCUGUCGGGAGGGAAGAAAAGCACAUGGUGAAUGUGUCUGACGGUACCUUCGAAGGAAGCACUGGCUAACUCCGUGCCAGCAGCCGCGGUAAUACGGAGAGUGCAAACGUUGUUCGGAAUUAUUGGGCGUAAAGGGCGCGUAGGCGGCUUGGUAAGUCAGAUGUGAAAGCCCUGGGCUCAACCCGGGAAGUGCGUUUGAAACUGCUAAGCUUGAGUGCAGGAGGGAGAGGUGGAAUUCCAGGUGUAGGAGUGAAAUCCGUAGAUAUCUGGAGGAACACCGGUGGCGAAGGCGACCUCUUGGCCUGAAACUGACGCUGAGGCGCGAAGGCGUGGGUAGCAAACAGGAUUAGAUACCCUGGUAGUCCACGCGGUAAACGAUGCUCACUGGUGCGUGGUGGCGAGACGCGUGUCGUAGUGCCGUACGUCGUACCGACGAGUAAGUAGAGCCGCCGUCGGGGAGGUAACGGUCGGCGAAGAAGUUAAACGUUACAAAGUAGAGUUGACGGCGUUGAGACGUUGCCGACGGACGACGACGAGGGAGGAGG